Molecule: ribosomal RNA, 253 nt
Filed under: uncultured bacterium
Lineage: Bacteria
Description: partial 16S ribosomal RNA
Rfam family: Bacterial small subunit ribosomal RNA
Source: RNAcentral
UACGUAGGCGACAAGCGUUAUCCGGAAUUACUGGGCGUAAAGCGCACGCAGGCGGCAGCUUAAGUCUGACGUGAAAUCUCCUGGCUUAACUGGGAGAGGUCGUUGGAAACUGGGCAGCUUGAGGUGGUGAGAGGGGUGCAGAAUUCCCGGUGUAGUGGUGGAAUGCGUAGAUAUCGGGAGGAAUACCAGUGGCGAAAGCGGCGCCCUGGCACUGACCUGACGAUCAUGUGCGAAAGAGUGGGGAGCAAACGGG